RNAcentral lists this transfer RNA (65 nucleotides) under Dipodomys ordii (Ord's kangaroo rat). It matches the Rfam family "tRNA". From Rfam's summary of the family: Transfer RNA (tRNA) molecules are approximately 80 nucleotides in length. Their secondary structure includes four short double-helical elements and three loops (D, anti-codon, and T loops). Lineage: Eukaryota; Metazoa; Chordata; Mammalia; Rodentia; Heteromyidae. The record is from Rfam by way of RNAcentral.
GGUGGCUCAGUGGUAAAGCGCUUGCCUGGCAUGCAUGAAGCUCUGGGUUUGAUUCCUCAGCACCA